RNAcentral lists this ribosomal RNA (457 nucleotides) under uncultured bacterium. RNAcentral's name for it is "partial 16S ribosomal RNA". It matches the Rfam family "Bacterial small subunit ribosomal RNA", at positions 338 to 795 of the family's 1533-position model. The record is from RNAcentral.
CCUACGGGAGGCAGCAGUGGGGAAUAUUGCACAAUGGGGGAAACCCUGAUGCAGCGACGCCGCGUGAGUGAAGAAGUAAUUCGUUACGUAAAGCUCUAUCAGCAGGGAAGAAACACUGACCUUACGGUCAGCAGACGGUACCUGAGUAAGAAGCCCCGGCUAACUACGUGCCAGCAGCCGCGGUAAUACGGAGGAUGCGAGCGUUAUCCGGAUUUAUUGGGUUUAAAGGGUGCGUAGGCGGAAUGCCAAGUCAGCGGUAAAAUCGCGGGGCGCAACCUCGCUCCGCCGUUGAAACUGGCGUUCUUGAGUGGGCGAGAAGUAUGCGGAAUGCGUGGGGUAGCAGUGAAAUGCAUAGAUAUCACGCAGAACUCCGAUUGCGAAGGCAGCAUACCGGCGCCCAACUGACGCUGAAGCACGAAAGCGUGGGUAUCGAACAGGAUUAGAUACCCGGGUAGUC